GAUGAACGCUGGCGGCGUGCCUAACACAUGCAAGUCGAACGGAGAUUACGGACGGAAGUUUUCGGAUUGAAGCCUGUAAUUCUUAGUGGCGGACGUGUGAGUAACGCGUGUGCAACCUGCCCUAUACCGGGGGAUAGCAGCUGGAACCGGCUUGUAAUACCGCAUAAGUCGUCGAGACCUCAUGGUUUUGCCUGGAAAUGAGCAAUCAGGUAUAGGAUGUGCCCUCGUCCGAUUAUCCAGUUUGCAGGUUAAAAGCCUACCAAAGCAACGAUCGGUAGCCGGACUGAGAGGUCGGACGGACACAUUGGGAAGGAGACACGGCACAAACUCCUACGGGAGGCAGCAGUGGGGGAUAGUGCAAAAUGGAGGAAACUCUGAUGCAGCGACGACGCGUGAGUGAAGAAGUAUUUCGGUAUGUAAAGCUCUAUCAGCAGGGAAGAUGAUGACGGUACCUGACUAAGAAGCCCCGGCUAACUACGUG
RNAcentral lists this ribosomal RNA (481 nucleotides) under uncultured bacterium. RNAcentral describes it as "partial 16S ribosomal RNA". It matches the Rfam family "Bacterial small subunit ribosomal RNA", at positions 28 to 507 of the family's 1533-position model. The record is from RNAcentral.